Molecule: ribosomal RNA, 502 nt
Filed under: uncultured Mobiluncus sp.
Lineage: Bacteria; Bacillati; Actinomycetota; Actinomycetes; Actinomycetales; Actinomycetaceae
Description: bacterial SSU rRNA
Rfam family: Bacterial small subunit ribosomal RNA
Source: RNAcentral
AGUACGUUGACUCGUGCUAGAGACACGCUGGCGGCGUGCUUAACACAUGCAAGUCGAACGAUGAAGCGGGUGCUUGCACUCGUGGAUUAGUGGCGAACGGGCGAGUAACACGUGAGUAACCUGUCCUUUUCUUUGGGAUAACGGCUGGAAACGGCUGCUAAUACUGGAUAUUCAGGCUGCAUCGCAUGGUGUGGUUUGGAAAGGUUUUUUCUGGGAUUGGGUGGGCUCGCGGCCUAUCAGCUUGUUGGUGGGGUGAUGGCUUACCAAGGCUUUGACGGGUAGCCGGCCUGAGAGGGUGGUCGGUCGCACUGGGACUGAGAUACGGCCCAGACUCCUACGGGGGGCAGCAGUGGGGAAUAUUGCACAAUGGACGAAAGUUUGAUGCAGCGACGCCGCGUGGAGGGUGUAGGCCUUCGGGUUGUGAACUCCUUUUUCUCGCGAAAAAGGCACAGUUUUGGCUGUGUUGAUGGUAGUGGGGGAAGAAGCGCCGGCUAACUACGUG